AAAGACUGGUUUGAACCUUGAAGCUUAAACCCAUUUCUUUUUGGCUGAAGCAAAUGUUUGUCUGUUAAACCCUCGUUGAGGUCGAAGAUGAAGAUUUCCAGUUUCAAUCCAUGAAGAAUUUCUUCGGAAACCAUUUUCGUUCCCAAAAGAACUUGUUCAUCGGCGUUUCAUUUUACUCAACAAAUACAAAUGGUGAGAUUUCACAUAGAAAUUCCUGGAAUGGCCCGAUGGGCGUUCUCUACCGUCAGAUUUCCCCGAUCGGAGAUCCUAAGCUCUCCGUCGUUCCGGUUCUCGAUAAGUGGGUCCAGGAUGGACAAAAUGUUAACAAAAGUCAUCUAGUGUCAGUGAUCAAGGAGCUCAGGUACUUUGGACGAUAUAAGCACGCUCUUGAGAUAUCUAUGUGGAUGACAGACAAAAGGUACUUUCAGCUUACAUAUGGUGAUGUUGCCAUUCGGCUGGACCUGAUCGCCAAAGUUCAUGGGGUAGAGCAAGCUGAGAAUUAUUUUAACAACGUUCCAAGACAAUUGAAAUCCCUUCAGAUUUACAACGCUCUCCUCAAUUGUUAUGCUCAUGAAGAACUAGUGGAGAAAGCAGAGGCCCUUAUGCAGCAGAUGAAGGAUAUGGGGUUAGCAAGAUCAAUACUGGCUUAUAACGCUUUGCUUAAUCUGUAUUUAAAAACUGGAAGUUAUGAAAAAAUGGGCAAUCUCUUGCAUGAGAUGGAGGAGAAGGGCAUUAGCAAUGACAAAUGUACGUAUGCCAUUCAGAUCGGUGCAUAUGCAGCCAAUUCUGAUAUGGAGGGAAUUGACAAAAUUCUGUCAAGGAUGGAAACUGAUCCCCAAGUUAUGGAUUGGAAUACUUAUUCAACUGCAGCAAAUGGAUGUAUAAAAGCUGGGCUUGUGGAUAAAGCUUUGUUAAUGUUAAAGAAAUCGGAGGAACUGAUAUUAACUUCUAGGAGAAAGUCUGAAGGCUUUCAACACAUUCUUACACAAUACGCUGCAAUAGGGAAGAAGGAUGAGGUGUUAAGAUUAUGGGAACUUUACGGUAAGCAGUGUAAGGUAUAUAAUCGAGGUUAUAUAAGCAUGAUAACCUCUCUACUGAAGUUUGAUGACAUUGAAAGUGCUGAGAAAAUCUUUAAGGAGUGGGAAUCCCAGGAUUUAAACUAUGAUAACCGCAUCCCAAACCCUUUGAUUAGUGCUUGUUGCAGUAUAGGUCUUUUUGAAAAGGCUGAAAGCCUUUUAAAACGGGUAAUAGAAAAGGGGGGAAAACCGAAUUCAAGGACAUGGCACUAUUUGGCAACAGGGUAUUUUAAACAUAAUCAAAUGCAGAAGGCCGCUGAAGCUAUAAAAGAAGAAAUUUCUGUUGCCGAGUCAUUCUCGAAGCUUAGUAAGGAUUGUUUGGCUGCUUGUCUGGAAUACUUGAAAGGAAAAGGAGAUUUGGAGGGAGCAGAGGAAAUUAUUACCCUACUUAGGGAUAAGUGUUUUUUAUCUGUGGAUAUUCAGGAUAGAUUGUUGAAUUAUAUAAAAGAUGGGGAAUCGAAUUCACAAUUACCAAUUGAAAUUUUAGCAGAUGCUUUGGAUAGAGAUGAAGAGACAUCCUAACUUUUAGCAGUGGAGGAGGGUGCCAGUGGAAGCAGAUGAUACGUGCUUAAAAAAAUGCCUGACAAUUUGUGAAAACUAAUGUAAGUGAGAGGUGCAGAAAGAUAGAACAGAGCAGCUGAGGUGAUGCAUUUAUUUCUAAGUGGCUAUACAGAAUCCUUUUUUUCUUUUUUUGAUAAAUUAUUUCUCUUUAGUUUGUACUUGUGCUUGUAAAUUGCAUAGCAAUGCUCCUAGAUGACGGUUAAAUUUUCAUUCACAUGCAUGACCCCUAGACUUAGUUUAUUGUACUUUUUUUUAGAUUAUUUGGUUUCUAUAUCUUUUUGGGUGUUUUUAUUCUGUGAUAUGGGUUGAGUUAUUACUUCAUGUCAUGUAUGGUUCCUGGCCUCACCGAACCCAGGAUCUGGUAGCUUGAAUUGAAAAGAUGCAAGUUUAACAAGA
Molecule: RNA transcript, 2033 nt
Organism: Ziziphus jujuba (common jujube)
Lineage: Eukaryota; Viridiplantae; Streptophyta; Magnoliopsida; Rosales; Rhamnaceae
Gene name: pentatricopeptide repeat-containing protein At2g20710, mitochondrial-like
Exons: 3
Source: RefSeq, a predicted model, not a curated record